This is a long non-coding RNA of Sapajus apella (tufted capuchin), 109 nucleotides long. RefSeq lists it as uncharacterized. Lineage: Eukaryota; Metazoa; Chordata; Mammalia; Primates; Cebidae. The transcript is spliced from 3 exons. The record is from RefSeq and is a predicted model, not a curated record.
CUAGUAAACCCCAUAGUCUCUGCCCAAAAGUUCCUAGACCUGACAAACAACUUCAGCAAAGUUUCAAGAUACAAAAUCAAUGCACAAAAAUCAGUAGCAUUUCUACACG